This 180-nucleotide ribosomal RNA is filed under the name Hematodinium sp. RNAcentral describes it as "partial large subunit ribosomal RNA". It matches the Rfam family "Bacterial large subunit ribosomal RNA", at positions 1924 to 2110 of the family's 2925-position model. The record is from RNAcentral. Lineage: Eukaryota; Dinophyceae; Syndiniales; Syndiniaceae.
CAAACGGCGGCUGUAAUGUCCCUAAGGUAGCAAAAUUCCUUGACGGGUAAGUUCCGUCCUGCAUGAACGAUGUAACGACUUCCUCACUGUCGCUAGCCUGAUCUCUGUGAUAUUGAGUCAUCCUUGAAUACGUGGAACCAUACUACCCGACGGUAAGACCCUGUGCACCUUUAUUUCUCC